This 426-nucleotide ribosomal RNA is filed under the name Clostridioides difficile. RNAcentral describes it as "bacterial LSU rRNA". It matches the Rfam family "Bacterial large subunit ribosomal RNA", at positions 2497 to 2925 of the family's 2925-position model. The record is from RNAcentral. Lineage: Bacteria; Bacillati; Bacillota; Clostridia; Peptostreptococcales; Peptostreptococcaceae.
AGGCCACAUCGACGGGGAGGUUUGGCACCUCGAUGUCGGCUCAUCACAGCCUGGGGCUGUAGUAGGUCCCAAGGGUUGGGCUGUUCGCCCAUUAAAGUGGUACGCGAGCUGGGUUCAGAACGUCGUGAGACAGUUCGGUCCCUAUCCGUCGCAGGCGUAGGAAAUUUGAGAAGACCUGUCCUUAGUACGAGAGGACCGGGAUGGACGUACCUCUGGUGUACCAGUUGUCCUGCCAAGGGCAUGGCUGGGUAGCUAUGUACGGAAUGGAUAAGCGCUGAAAGCAUCUAAGCGCGAAGCCAACUUCAAGAUAAGAUUUCCCACCGCAAGGGUAAGACCCCAGAAAGACUAUCUGGUUGAUAGGUCGAAGGUGUAAGUUCAGCAAUGUAUUUAGCUUAUCGAUACUAAUAGGUCGAGGACUUGACCAAU